This 657-nucleotide ribosomal RNA is filed under the name Acarospora applanata. Its description in RNAcentral is "partial large subunit ribosomal RNA". It matches the Rfam family "Eukaryotic large subunit ribosomal RNA", at positions 423 to 1444 of the family's 3401-position model. Lineage: Eukaryota; Fungi; Ascomycota; Lecanoromycetes; Acarosporales; Acarosporaceae. The record is from RNAcentral.
UUGCAACCAGACUUGGCCCGCGGGCGAUCAGCCGGUAUUUUUUCCGGUGCACUCCGCCCGCGGUCAGGCCCACCUCGGUUUGGGCGGGUGGAUAAAGUCCCCCGGAACGUAGCCUCUUUCGGGGAGUGUUAUAGCCGGAGGGGGCAUGCAGCCCGGCCGGGCCGAGGGCCGCGGUUCGGGUAGGAUGCUGGCGUUAUGGUUGUUAGCGACCCGUCUUGAAACCCGGGCCAAGGAGUUUAACCUUUAUGCGGGGGGUUGGGGGUCCAACCCAUGGGGGCAAUGGAGGUGAACGGAGGUGGGAAACCUUAAGGGGGCCCCAUCGGCCGGUCCCGAUGUCCUUGGAAGGAAUUGAGUAAGAGCAUAGCCGUUGGGACCCGAAAGAUUGUGAACUAAGCCUGAAUAGGGGGAAAGCAGAAGGAACUUUGGGGGAGGGUCGCAGCGGGUUUGGCGGGCAAAUCGGUUGUCAAAUUUGGGGAAAGGGGGGAAAGGCUAAUUGGACCCUUUGGUUCUAGAAGGGACACGGGCCUGGGUGGCCCCAUAGUUCCCGGGCGGGGGGGGGGGCAUUGUCGGUUUUCGGGGACGGCUCAGGCCCACCGCAAUGAGGUUCGGGGCCAAUCCCAGGAUAAAGUGCGGGGGCCGGUGCCUGGAGCCCCGGUA